GCAGGCGAGGACGAGAAACAUGAAGGCGCCGCGAAAGCGAAGCCAUGCAAAGGGGGAAAAGAAUCGGCGAAUAAAACCACAAAAGCUCUCAAAUAACCGCCCGUUCCUCUCAGAAACAACACAAGAGACGCUUUAAAGUUCCUGGAGAUCCAUCCCAUGCCGAUCUGGGCUAUUUUCCACCAGUUUUGCUCAUUUAUUCACACCCUCCCCCCCCCCUCCAGUCACCGAAGGCCUCUUGUUUUUGUUCGACUGAGGCGAUUUUUUUCCCCCCGUCUCUCUCGCAUCUUCUGGAAUUUUCUCGACGGCUCCCGAGGUAAAAGUCGGAGUUAAAAACCGGCGGAGGUGGGGCGCGAGAGAUGGAAGAACAAGACUUAAAAGAGCACCUCCUGAUGAUCAUGAAUGGAACUACAUAUUCCAAAAUUAAUUCUUCCUGAUGUGUGUAAAUGUAAAAGCAUUUCUACCAAGUUCUACAAUGGCUAAUUAAAUUUGUCACAUUCAGUUAAAUGCAUGUGGGUCUAAAAUUUUACUUUUAAGGUAUUAUUUAAUCCGCUAUUCUAAAUCUCCAACAGAACUGCACAGGGGGAAAUAAUUAUAGUUGUCAGAUGAAGUCGUUUUAAAGAGUGAAGGGUAAUUGGACCUGGCUUUGUAUAUAAUUCUGACCCCAUCUUUGAAGUCAAGCUUACAAAUUCAUAAACUUAUUUCUAAUGGCAGCUUUCAUUGUAAACUUGACCUUGUUAUAAUUAUAACAUGUACAGUGGUGCCAUUACUAUGCAUUUCCUGGUAGGAGACUACAGUUACAGCAUUACCUGCUUAAAUGUAUAAUUUCCAUUAUAAGUAUGGACAAAUUAUUAUGGAGAAAUUUGGAAGCAAGUGUAAUCUUUUUAAACUUAAUCCUUGUCCCUACUCUCUGUCCUGUGAGUUGACUUCCAUGUUCAACUCUAUCCCAAAGACUCAAGGCAGCAGAAAACAAGAGCUCGCAUGUUUUUAAGAUUACUUUAUUCUGAGGCUUCUGAUCCGUGGGUAUCAGCAUCAAUUUCAUGAAGAUCUUUGCUUCAUCAAGCUCCCAUUGUCGUACAGAUAAUUCACACCAAUAACAUUGGUGGAAGUUGUGUCUAAAUGUGUAUGUUUUUAUUGUGAGAUGUGGAAUUCCACCUCUGUGUCAAACUUCCCAUGUACAACACUGGUUCUGUAAUGGUGUAGUUAAAGAGAUGGAUUUUUCUAAUGUAUGAACUGAAAUUUAUAUGAAUGUUUGUUUAAAAACUAAAUGAAUAUCAAAGUAUUUGAAUAAUACCAUUUUGAUAAACUCAGUGUAAGUACCCGAUUAUGCUUGGGAGAUCUGAAUCAUUUGUAUAAAAAUAAUAAAUGUGGAAUUUUUCAAUAUUCCUUCCAACUAAAAUGA
This is a long non-coding RNA of Pristis pectinata (smalltooth sawfish), 1399 nucleotides long. RefSeq lists it as uncharacterized. The transcript is spliced from 2 exons. Lineage: Eukaryota; Metazoa; Chordata; Chondrichthyes; Rhinopristiformes; Pristidae. The record is from RefSeq and is a predicted model, not a curated record.